GCAUGAGACAGGUGGAUCUGGACCACGUCCCGAGGACAAGAGAGAUACUGCUAUAGGAUCUGAUGAGCAUAUGCAUGAGACAGGUGGAUCUGGACCACGUCCUGGGGACAAGAGAGAUACUGCUACAGGAUCUGAUGAGCAUAUGCAUGAGACAGGUGGAUCUGGACCACGUCCUGGGGACAAGAGACCACGAGAUGUUAUUGAUGAUAGCACUUAGAUUUUACUAUUUAUUUGGCUUUGAUAUGUACUUUUU
This is a long non-coding RNA of Cryptomeria japonica (Japanese cedar), 253 nucleotides long. RefSeq lists it as uncharacterized. Lineage: Eukaryota; Viridiplantae; Streptophyta; Pinopsida; Cupressales; Cupressaceae. The record is from RefSeq and is a predicted model, not a curated record. The transcript is spliced from 3 exons.